GUGCGGGUCGGCCUGCCAGGAUUGGCGUGUACUGCCCGCGCGCUCUUAUAGGACUUUUCGUUUGUGGGCCGCUGCUAUUAACUUAGUGGCGGUUGCGCACGAGAACGUUUCCUGUGAAAAAAUUAGAGUGUUCAAAGCAGGGAAGUUUCGCCUGUUGAAUAUCGCAGCAUGGGAUAAUAGAAUAUGACCACCGCUUGGUGCGUUUGUUGGUUUUAACCGCGGAGGUAAUGAUUAAUAGGAGCGGUUGGGGAUAUUAGUACUCCGCAGUCAGAGGUGAAAUUCUAUGAUUUGCGGAAGACUAACUACUGCGAAAGCAUUUAUCAAGGACGCUUUCAUUGAUCAGGAACGAGAGUUAGGGGAUCGAAGAUGAUCAGAUACCGUCGUAGUCCUAACCUUAAACGAUGCCGGCCAGGACAAUCCGGAGACGUUAAAUGGAUGACUCCCCGGGAGCCUUCUGAGAAGUCAUAAGCUUUUGGGUAACGGGGGGAGUAUGGUCGCAAGGCUGAAACUUAAAGGAAUUGGCGGAAGGGCACCACCAGGAGUGGAGCUUGCGGCUUAAUUUGACCCAACACGGGAAAACUUACCAGGUCCAGACACCAGAAGGAUUGACAGAUUGAGAGCUCUUUCAUGAUUUGGUGGGUGGUGGUGCAUGGCCGUUCUUAGUUCGUGGAGUGAUUCGUCUGCUUUAUUGCGAUAACGAGCGAGACCAUAACCUGCUAAAUAGCUACGCAAACCAUCUGAUACGGGGUGAAGGCGCGGGACUCGGCACGGCCCUCACGGGUCGUCGCCGCCCGCGUUGGAUCCUCUGAUGCGUUUGUGGCAAGGCUUCUUAGAGGGACAGUUGGCGGAGAGCCAAAGGAAGGUUGUGGCAAUAACAGGUCUGUAAUGCCCUUAGAUGUUCUGGGAUGCACGCGUGCUACACUGACGAAAUCAGCGAGUACAACAACCUUGGCCGGAAGGUCUGGGUAAUCUCUGAAAUUUCGUCGUGAUGGGGAUAGAUCAUUGGAAUUAUUGAUCUUGAACGAGGAAUUCCUAGUAAGCGCAAGUCAUCAGCUCGCGCUGACUACGUCCCUGCCCUUUGCACACACCGCCCGUCGCUCCUAUCGAUGGAUGAUCCGGUGAGAACAUGGGACGGCGGCACUUCGACCGGUUCGCGCCGGUCCGUGCCACCAGAACUAGUUGAAGUCGUAACAAGGUAUCCGUAGGUGAACCUGCGGAUGG
Molecule: ribosomal RNA, 1221 nt
Filed under: metagenome
Description: SSU rRNA
Rfam family: Eukaryotic small subunit ribosomal RNA
Source: RNAcentral